RNAcentral lists this long non-coding RNA (668 nucleotides) under Nicotiana tabacum (common tobacco). Its description in RNAcentral is "long non-coding RNA (NTAB_LNC004889)". The record is from RNAcentral. Lineage: Eukaryota; Viridiplantae; Streptophyta; Magnoliopsida; Solanales; Solanaceae.
AAUUCAAAAGAACUAACAAUCAUCAUCAACAAAAGAGAGUAUUCAGUCCCUUCAAAUGGACCAUAACUUAAUCUGGGGAGGCCAAAACUUGGAUGGAAGCUGCAAACCAUCAUAUAACCAAUGUAUCUAAUUCACAUCAAAAUACAUGUGGCGUGCCCCUCGGAAAGCAUAAUCUAGCAAAUUCAGAACCAAUCGAAUGAAUCUGGUUCAGGACUGUAAUCUUGUUUGGAGAUAUUAUGUACUAUCCUCCUCCUUGCCAAGUUCCAAUUAGAUUAAUUUGGCAAGCCAAUGGUAACAAAUCAAAGUAUCAACCUCCGGAUGUUCUUCAGACGACAACCAGGCUUCCAGCGAAGUCAUAUCUGUCUCAUGCUACAUUUCAACUUCUCAGAUUCAAGUUCUUGUUUCAAAGAUUCGAGCCGUUCAAGCAAGUCAAUGUUUUCCUGGUGAAAUCAAACACAUUGACAAACUAUUAAUCGAACUGUGAGUUGUGAGAAUGAUGAUACGCAUUACGGAGAUAACAAUUCAUAGAACUUCACAUUUCUAACAAGAAAGCGGCCAAUUGUAGGGUAAAAGAAGAAGAAGAAGAAGAAGAAGAAGAAGAAGAAGAAAGAGAGACAUCAAGAAAAUCGUCUCAAACAUGCACCUUUUGCAACAUGUCCAACUUCUUC